RNAcentral lists this long non-coding RNA (209 nucleotides) under Elaeis guineensis (African oil palm). RNAcentral describes it as "long non-coding RNA (EGUI_LNC082831)". Lineage: Eukaryota; Viridiplantae; Streptophyta; Magnoliopsida; Arecales; Arecaceae. The record is from RNAcentral.
CAGAACAGCCCGCAACAAUGCAGCCACCAUCUAUGCACAUGUUACGGCCAAUCUCCUCGUCGCCUGGUCGCCGGGAACAAGCGCCUGCAAAAGAAAGUCCGCACUGACCGGAGGCGGCUCCGGCGGGGACCCUCCGACGGUCAAGUCAGAGAGGAGACUAGGCAAUAGCGAAAAAGAAACAAGGAACUCAACGAGAGAGGGAGAGAGAG